AGCUUGCUCUCUGGGUGGCGAGUGGCGGACGGGUGAGGAAUACAUCGGAAUCUACUCUGUCGUGGGGGAUAACGUAGGGAAACUUACGCUAAUACCGCAUACGACCUACGGGUGAAAGCAGGGGAUCUUCGGACCUUGCGCGAUUGAAUGAGCCGAUGUCGGAUUAGCUAGUUGGCGGGGUAAAGGCCCACCAAGGCGACGAUCCGUAGCUGGUCUGAGAGGAUGAUCAGCCACACUGGAACUGAGACACGGUCCAGACUCCUACGGGAGGCAGCAGUGGGGAAUAUUGGACAAUGGGCGCAAGCCUGAUCCAGCCAUACCGCGUGGGUGAAGAAGGCCUUCGGGUUGUAAAGCCCUUUUGUUGGGAAAGAAAUCCAGCUGGCUAAUACCUGGUUGGGAUGACGGUACCCAAAGAAUAAGCACCGGCUAACUUCGUGCCAGCAGCCGCGGUAAUACGAAGGGUGCAAGCGUUACUCGGAAUUACUGGGCGUAAAGCGUGCGUAGGUGGUCGUUUAAGUCCGUUGUGAAAGCCCUGGGCUCAACCUGGGAACUGCAGUGG
This 559-nucleotide ribosomal RNA is filed under the name Stenotrophomonas maltophilia. Its description in RNAcentral is "bacterial SSU rRNA". It matches the Rfam family "Bacterial small subunit ribosomal RNA", at positions 77 to 629 of the family's 1533-position model. Lineage: Bacteria; Pseudomonadati; Pseudomonadota; Gammaproteobacteria; Lysobacterales; Lysobacteraceae. The record is from RNAcentral.